UCUUCCUCAGUUGCCCUCUACCUUAUUUUUUGAGGCAGGGUCUGUGACUUCGGAGCUCACUUGGUUUUGACUAAACUGGCUAGCCAACAAACUUCAGGGAGUUUCCCAUCACCCUUCCCCAGUACUGUGGAUUCCGACUCAUGCCACCACAUUUGGAUUUUUACAUGGAUGCUGACGAUUGAAACUCAGUUCUCCUGUCUGCACAGUAAUUUCUUUAGGAGGGCUGGUCUAUUUGACAUUCAGGUGUUUGGCAGCCACAUAUGUCGGACAGAGCCAAUGAGGAGUAAGGGGCGAAGGCAAAAGACAAUUUGGUACCUGGACCAGGUCAGAAAGAUCCCAGGGGACAACAGAACACUUCUAAAGGACCCUACAGCUCUGGGCUUGCCGAUCAGUUGUAAACUCUCCAGAGCCAAACCUGCCUGCCUGCCUGCCUGCCUGCCUGCCUGCCUGCCUGCCUGCCUGCUGCCUGCCUGCUGCCUGCCUGCCUGCCUGCCUGCCUGCCUGCCUGCCUGCCUGCUGCCUGCCUGCCUGCCUGCUGCCUGCCUGCCUGCUGCCUGCCUGCCUGCCUGCUGCCUGCCUGCCUGCCUGCCUGCCUGCCUGCCUGCCUGCCUGCCUGCUGUUCUGCUUCCUGCAUGCUUGGCAUGGACUCACCUCUGAAACUAUAAUUUUGCAGCCCGUCACAGAAUUGAAAGUGCUUCAUGCCAUCAGGUCACCUCUUUAAAGCUUUUUCUUCUGCUUGGAAGUUUUCUGUACCAUGCAUAUGGUGAGGUUCUGCCUCCCAAAGUCUUCAGAACAUCCCCACAUGGUGCCACAGCUGAAGAUUAAACACUCAGAGCAGGAGCCUGUAGGCGAUGCUUCCUACGCAAACCACAGCGGCAGCAGGUGUGGACUGGCAUCCUGGUUUCAUAGCACAUAGUCAGAAUAUCUCUUUGUUUUCAUGAAGGUUGCAUGAUCAUGGAAACUGGGAAUUGGUCAAGCAAUUAAAAAAUGGUCAUGCCCUGGC
Molecule: long non-coding RNA, 1003 nt
Organism: Mus musculus (house mouse)
Lineage: Eukaryota; Metazoa; Chordata; Mammalia; Rodentia; Muridae
Product: predicted gene, 39074
Exons: 5
Source: RefSeq, a predicted model, not a curated record